AUUGCUUCUCAGCCUUUUGGCUAAGAUCAAGUGUAGUAUCUGUUCUUUUUAGUUUAAUAUCUUAUAUGUCCUCUACCUGAGGACAUUAUAUUAAAUGGGUUUUCAGAGCUAGGAGAUGGAAUAGGAGCUUGCUUCGUCCACUCUGCGCAUCGACCCAGUAUUGCAGUACUUCCAGAAAGGGCGCACAAUAA
Molecule: small nuclear RNA, 191 nt
Organism: Pteronotus mesoamericanus
Lineage: Eukaryota; Metazoa; Chordata; Mammalia; Chiroptera; Mormoopidae
Product: U2 spliceosomal RNA
Exons: 1
Source: RefSeq, a predicted model, not a curated record